GACAGAGGGUGCAAACGUUGUUCGGAAUUACUGGGCGUAAAGCGCGUGUAGGCAGCUCGGAAAGUCGGAUGUGAAAGCCCUGGGCUCAACCUAGGAAGUGCAUUCGAAACUUCCGAGCUGGAGUGCUGGAGAGGAAGGCGGAAUUCUCGGUGUAGAGGUGAAAUUCGUAGAUAUCGAGAGGAACACCGGUGGCGAAGGCGGCCUUCUGGACAGUAACUGACGCUGAGACGCGAAAGCGUGGGGAGCAAACAGG
RNAcentral lists this ribosomal RNA (253 nucleotides) under uncultured bacterium. RNAcentral describes it as "partial 16S ribosomal RNA". It matches the Rfam family "Bacterial small subunit ribosomal RNA", at positions 524 to 776 of the family's 1533-position model. The record is from RNAcentral.